GAUGAAGAACGCAGCGAAAUGCGAUAAGUAAUGUGAAUUGCAGAAUUCAGCGAAUCAUCGAAUCUUUGAACGCACAUUGCGCCCCUUGGUAUUCCGAGGGGCAUGCCUGUUCGAGCGUCAUUUUGACCACUCCCGCUUGCGGGGUCUUGGGCCUUCGCCUCUGGGCGGGCCUUAAAAUCAGUGGCGGUGCCGUCCGGCUCUAAGCGUAGUAAAUCUCCUCGCUAUAGGGUUCCGGAGGGAUGCUGGCCAACAACCCCCAACUUUUAAGGUUGACCUCGGAUCAGGUAGGGAUACCCGCUGAACUUAAGCAUAUCAAUAAGCGGAGGA
RNAcentral lists this unclassified non-coding RNA (327 nucleotides) under soil metagenome. RNAcentral's name for it is "partial contains 5.8S ribosomal RNA, internal transcribed spacer 2, and large subunit ribosomal RNA". The stretch from base 1 to 120 matches the Rfam family "5.8S ribosomal RNA", at positions 35 to 154 of the family's 154-position model. The record is from RNAcentral.